GACGAACGCUGGCGGCGUGCUUAACACAUGCAAGUCGAACGGAAAGGCCCUGAUUUUGUGGGGUGACCGAGUGGGGAACGGGUGAGUAACACGUGUGUAACCUGAUCUAGACUUUGGGAUAACUUAACGAAAGUGGGGCUAAUAUCGGAUAGCAGACGCUGCAGCAUGGUGGGGGGUGGAACGUUUCGGCGGUUGGGGAUGGACUGGCGGCUUACCAGCUUGCUGGUUGGGGAGUGGCUUACCCAGGAUUUGACGGGUAGCCGGCCUGGGAGGGGGACCGGCCACAUUGCGACUGAGGUACGGCCCAGACUCCUACGGGAGGCAGCGGGGGGGAGUAUUGCACAGUGGGCGGAAGCCUGAUGCAGCAACGCCGCGGGCGUGAUGACGGCCUUCGGGUUGUAAACCGCUUCCGCCUGUUACGAAGCGUGAGUGACGGUAAUGGGUAAAGAAGCACCGGCUAACUACGUG
RNAcentral lists this ribosomal RNA (468 nucleotides) under uncultured bacterium. RNAcentral describes it as "partial 16S ribosomal RNA". It matches the Rfam family "Bacterial small subunit ribosomal RNA", at positions 28 to 507 of the family's 1533-position model. The record is from RNAcentral.